UUCCUGUCAGGUGUGGACUUGUGUCUGCAGCC
This 32-nucleotide non-coding RNA is filed under the name Rattus norvegicus (Norway rat). Lineage: Eukaryota; Metazoa; Chordata; Mammalia; Rodentia; Muridae. The record is from RNAcentral.